Molecule: ribosomal RNA, 381 nt
Filed under: Salmonella enterica subsp. enterica serovar Kentucky
Lineage: Bacteria; Pseudomonadati; Pseudomonadota; Gammaproteobacteria; Enterobacterales; Enterobacteriaceae
Description: partial 23S ribosomal RNA
Rfam family: Bacterial large subunit ribosomal RNA
Source: RNAcentral
UGUUUCGGCUAGGGGGCCAUCCCGGCUUACCAACCCGAUGCAAACUGCGAAUACCGGAGAAUGUUAUCACGGGAGACACACGGCGGGUGCUAACGUCCGUCGUGAAGAGGGAAACAACCCAGACCGCCAGCUAAGGUCCCAAAGUCAUGGUUAAGUGGGAAACGAUGUGGGAAGGCCCAGACAGCCAGGAUGUUGGCUUAGAAGCAGCCAUCAUUUAAAGAAAGCGUAAUAGCUCACUGGUCGAGUCGGCCUGCGCGGAAGAUGUAACGGGGCUAAACCAUGCACCGAAGCUGCGGCAGCGACACUGUGUGUUGUUGGGUAGGGGAGCGUUCUGUAAGCCUGCGAAGGUGUCCCGUGAGGGAUGCUGGAGGUAUCAGAAGU